AUGGCCAUCUGGUUGAUGUGCAUACAAAAGGAGUGGUUUGCCAGACAAAGAAAGUACCUUUUAUCAUACAAAGCAAUGCAUCUCCUCUGCUCAGACUUCCAUUCUUCUGGCUCUGGUGGAGCUGCAGCCCGGCUGAAGCCACGGUGCAUCCACCGGAGAAAACCUGAUAUUUGCCAUCCUUGCAUCUUAAGGCUGUCUCUGCAAAUAUCUUCCACCCCUGCUCGCAGCAACUCCUUUUCACCCAGACAAUGGUAAUAGUUUAGGUAAUUAUGAAUUUUGUACGGGGAGCUGAACUCCCUGUGGAUGUUUAGACUCUUAUUAUCUUUAACCUAAUCCACCUCUACCAGUGAACUCCCACCUCAGCGGCUCGGUGGGCAUCAGCUGGGGGCUGAGAGGAGAGCAGGGGCAGAACUGAUGGGCAGUUUGUUAAUGUUAUGGGGUAUAACUGGCAAAGAAGGUGAGGAAGGGGGAGGUCCUUCACUCUCUGCUUCUGCCCAGCUGAUUGGCAUCAGUAGGAGCUGUUUGCGGCCACCUCUGAGAAGACAGUCCCCUCAAACCUGGGCUUAGAGGUCAAGCUCACCAGGCUGUGGUUUUGCUUUGAGAAGAGAUCCCGUGUACUGCUCAGGAGAUUUUGACAACCUUUUUUUUUUAAAAAAAAGAAAGAGUUUGCUAUUCAUUUUUCAUUGUUGUUAUUAUUGUGCACCUCCCAUAAAACUAAUUCCCACACUUCUCCUUGCCCAGAUGACAGGAGAUUCAAGGAGCUCUCACUAACAUAAACUGCUCACCCCAGGAUGCUAUUUACCUUCUGCUUCUCCCCUUCUUUCCCUCACACAUCCCUUCAACCUGUACCAUUAAGUGUAGUGGUAGAAGAAAACAAUGUCCCACAGGGCAGAGGUAAAACUUCCUUCUGGCUAAAAAUAUGGUUUGGGAAACUGGUGGACUCAGCACAGUCUGGGCCUUGUAAUAGGCAGGGAAAAGGGCUGUCACCAGGAGGGACUGACCCCCCGGUCUGAGCUGGCUGAACUGAAAAUUCAAGGAGAAAAAAUAGAUCUAGGUCUAAGUAAAACUAUUACAUGAAAAGCUAUUACAUGAAAAAGCAUGGAGAAUUUUUCAAACCCUGCUGAAGUUUUUUACUUGACAGAGUUAUAUUUUUAAUUUUGUUCUAAGGCUCUUCAGUCCUUUUAAAAUCAUUUCCCAAUCUUAUAGCUAUAUCACCCAUUAUAUGGAAAAUAAAAAUCAAAGCUGAAAUGUUGCA
RNAcentral lists this long non-coding RNA (1255 nucleotides) under Calidris pugnax (ruff). RNAcentral describes it as "lncRNA (ENSCPUG00000009052.1)". The record is from RNAcentral. Lineage: Eukaryota; Metazoa; Chordata; Aves; Charadriiformes; Scolopacidae.